GGUGAGGUGUCCGAGUGGUUGAAGGAGCACGCCUGGAAAGUGUGUAUACGUUAAUAGCGUAUCGAGGGUUCGAAUCCCUCCCUCACCGCCA
Molecule: transfer RNA, 91 nt
Filed under: Pseudomonadales bacterium
Lineage: Bacteria; Pseudomonadati; Pseudomonadota; Gammaproteobacteria; Pseudomonadales
Also listed under: 2 other names
Description: tRNA-Ser
Rfam family: tRNA
About the family: Transfer RNA (tRNA) molecules are approximately 80 nucleotides in length.
Source: RNAcentral